GAGGGGUUAAUUUUAAAAGAGUUUAGCGCAGCGGAUUAAUAACACAGAGAGCGUAAAGCGUAUUAGGUCACAGUUGAAACGAUUUUAGCCUUUUUAUAAAAAACAAUUUUCUUUCAGAAAAUUAACCAAGCAGUUGAUGUGCGUUAAAGUAAAAUGAGUAUAGGGCAUAAGAAAAGCACACAAGGAUUUUUAUACUGGUUCGAUUCAACAGAAUCUACGUCCAGUCGUUAAUCACUACAAAGAGUGAUUAACAGUUCCACUAAAAAAGGAUUUAACAGAUUACAAUGAAAAGUACAAAAAUAGAAUGAAAAGAACCACUCUACCAACUUGAAGAGACCUUGC
RNAcentral lists this long non-coding RNA (342 nucleotides) under Vigna radiata. RNAcentral's name for it is "long non-coding RNA (VRAD_LNC017559)". The record is from RNAcentral. Lineage: Eukaryota; Viridiplantae; Streptophyta; Magnoliopsida; Fabales; Fabaceae.